Molecule: non-coding RNA, 31 nt
Filed under: Rattus norvegicus (Norway rat)
Lineage: Eukaryota; Metazoa; Chordata; Mammalia; Rodentia; Muridae
Source: RNAcentral
UAGCAGACAUACCCAUCCCAUCCUGUGUGCU